GCUACAUCGUUUACUCUGUCUCUCUCCUUUCUCAGAUCUCGACUUCUGUAUUUAUCUAUUACAGUCGAUUGAGAGUUGUGAAACAGUUUAUCAUCCACAAUCUCUUGUUGUUAUCCACCUUCCUCCGUAUCUCACCAGAGUUUUCAUCCCCUCCCUCACCCAACGUAAAUAACGAACAACUCCGGGAAAGCCUUCCUCUUGUAAUCCUGCACCCCAUAAUAGGCGAUGGCAAAGACCACAUACGAAACAGAUACUUAUCAGGAGGUAAGAGCAACAAAGAGAAAGAGGAAGAUAAUUCAGAUACCUAUCUUCAAGACUCAAUAAUUUUAGAACCUCCUCAUAUAAGGAAUUCGUUUCCGGAAUACGUUUCUCAGUGGCAAAGAAGUGAUGACGAUAGUUUGUCUCCGACUCGAGAAAGUGAAUCUUUCAAGGAUAGAUAAUGUACGAAUGCACCAUCAAAGAUAUCAGAGAUAUUGUGCUAAUGCAGGUAAGAAACAGAUGUUUAUAAUCGUUCAUGUCAGCUUAAAAACCUUAAGCAUACUUUAUGUGUCUGUAUAGAUGACUUGGGCAUUGUUGUGUGUUCUUAUAGACCAGAUGGAUGUCGGUGAGGAUGUCGGUGAGGACAGUCACUUAGACGAAGUAAUUGCGUUGAAGAAGAUAGUGAAAUAUCUAGAAACCGUCGUGGAGAAUUUGCAUUAGGUGAUCAAUCGUUUAUUUCGAUUGGAAGAGGGGAAAAAAAAGUAAUGACGAUUAGUUAUAUUGAGGUCAAGUAGUUUUUUGUGUAAUGCCUAAAUCUUUUUAAGGGUGGAUGUAUGCGAAUGUGGUUACUCUACUACAUUAUGAAUAUGACCACAUGACAGUUUAUUUUUUGGGCAUUUAUGAAAAUCCAGUGUACCAGUCUGUUCGUUAACUUAAAUAUUUGAUGGAUUGUAGUUAUAUAAACUUUCACAAUAGAGUAA
Camelina sativa (false flax) is the source of this 959-nucleotide non-coding RNA. NCBI's taxonomy places the organism in Eukaryota, Viridiplantae, Streptophyta, Magnoliopsida, Brassicales, Brassicaceae. The record is from RefSeq and is a predicted model, not a curated record.